Molecule: ribosomal RNA, 253 nt
Filed under: uncultured bacterium
Lineage: Bacteria
Description: partial 16S ribosomal RNA
Rfam family: Bacterial small subunit ribosomal RNA
Source: RNAcentral
UACGUAGGGUGCGAGCGUUGUCCGGAAUUAUUGGGCGUAAAGGGCUCGUAGGCGGUUUGUCACGUCAGGAGUGAAAACUCGGGGCUCAACCCCGAGCCUGCUUCUGAUACGGGCAGACUGGAGGUAUGCAGGGGGGAACGGAAUUCCUGGUGUAGCGGUGAAAUGCGCAGAUAUCAGGAGGAACACCGGUGGCGAAGGCGGUUCUCUGGGCAUGUCCUGACGCUGAGGAGCGAAAGUGUGGGGAGCGAACAGG